Anopheles merus is the source of this 616-nucleotide long non-coding RNA. RefSeq lists it as uncharacterized. NCBI's taxonomy places the organism in Eukaryota, Metazoa, Arthropoda, Insecta, Diptera, Culicidae. The record is from RefSeq and is a predicted model, not a curated record. The transcript is spliced from 2 exons.
CGUCACCUUCCGGUGGAGGUCCUGCAGGAUUCCGUCAAAGGGUGCCGAAAACGACAACAAAAGCAAACGAAAAGCUGGCAAGCUCCAACGGAAAGGUGUAAAAGUCACCCGUUCUGUCGGCGUAUUAAGCCAUUACCAACGGAGGCGGAGGUUCCCAACCGAACUCGGGGACCGUGCAGCCAAGCGGAACCUGGUGACAGCUGCAUUUGCAUAAAUCGCAUCCACCUCAAGUGUGAAUAUGAAGCUAAAUUUUUUCCCGCUCCGAACAUUGACCGCCAUACGCCUGAAGACUGAAGCCGUCCGAACGGUUGGAGUGCUCUUCCGGUUCCGGAAAUAUUUACAAACAAUUGUGCCCUCUCGACUUGAACCGAUGCGUUACGAGCACGUUGCGCGCCACUCAACUCCGGGCCCAGCGUAACAACUCUAGUGGCCUCUUGAUAAUCUAUCAUCAUACCGGUUCUACCUAUCUCUCUACCUGUUUUACCUCUUAGCCGACCCUAUGAUCGAGGCGAUGUUUUUUUUUAUAUGGACCUAGAAAAAGGACCCUAAAACCACGCUGUUGGAGGGAUUUGCUUGAAGUGAUGCAGAGAGAAAUAAAAAAAGAAGUAAAAUGAUA